This 72-nucleotide transfer RNA is filed under the name bacterium. RNAcentral describes it as "tRNA-Thr". It matches the Rfam family "tRNA". From Rfam's summary of the family: Transfer RNA (tRNA) molecules are approximately 80 nucleotides in length. The record is from RNAcentral.
GCCACCCUAGCUCAACGGUAGAGCAACGCUUUUGUAAAGCGAAGGUUCGCGGUUCGAAUCCGCGGGGUGGCU